UCAGGUGUUAGCUGAGGUGAAGAAGAGGGAAUUGGAGAGGAGCACUGGCUUGAGAUUUGGGUCCAUGGGUUAUAUUUCUUACUGUUUUUACUGCUAUGAACUAAGAUAUGAUCCUUAGGAUAAUGUGUGGUUGAGACUGUGAGCUGGUUUUCUGUUCAUUAAAUGAGGUGACAGCUUGCUGGCAGCCACAUAGGGCAGAUGACUGUACCUUGCCAUGUGUUUAUGGAGAACUUGUCUGGGGUAUCUGAUGUGUUGUAGGCUAUGUGACUUAGGAAAAUUCAGACUCAGACUCCACUGAAGAAUUCUUGGAGAACCUGAAUCGAUUGAAGAGCUUUAAGAGAACAGCAAAAAGUGGAGAGAAGAUACUAUCUGAGGACUCAGACCUGGGAUAAGGAUUGAAUGGACAGUUUCUCUUCACAUUGACAUUUGCAGUGUCACUCCAAAUUCUUGCUACUACAUGUCCAUCAUUUCAGCUAGCUAAAUUCCUUCAGGAUCGCUUGUUACUUCUUCAGAAAUAGAGCCUGUCAGGAUGCAUACUUGUUUAUGUCUCUAACAACAUGAGCAUGGCAAGGACAGCCAGAAAAUGCAAAAUAAAUCGCAGGGGAGAAGCUGAUGUUUUAUUACAAAAAGCAAUACCCUCCACCCAUACGGAAGCAACACAUAAACCUCUUAAAACUGCAUUUUGGGAUACUGCCUGCAAAGAAGAAAGUUAGCAUUCAGUCCUGAAAAUGGAAAAUAGCUGUGUUUGGUUGUAUGGAAACAGUUACAUGGAUACAUAAUAUCCAGGAAAUUUUUAAACAUCAGCAUUUUUGGGUCUUGGAAGAAAUACAGUAAUUUCCAGCCUCUCUGUUAAUUCUGCUCCUGUAUUCUCAUAAUCCAUCAAAUGUGGUAUGGCCUAUAAACAAUAGCAACAAUGA
Long non-coding RNA from Anas platyrhynchos (mallard), 917 nucleotides. RefSeq lists it as uncharacterized. The record is from RefSeq and is a predicted model, not a curated record. Lineage: Eukaryota; Metazoa; Chordata; Aves; Anseriformes; Anatidae.